Molecule: non-coding RNA, 124 nt
Organism: Xylaria arbuscula
Lineage: Eukaryota; Fungi; Ascomycota; Sordariomycetes; Xylariales; Xylariaceae
Source: the annotation of a GenBank genome assembly
GGGAGUCUGGCCGAGUGGUUAAGGCGCUGUGUUUAGGUAUAGUUAAAUCAGCCUCUUCGGAAGUUGGUUUAUACCUUAAAUCCCGCAGUGGGAAACCGCGCAGGUUCGAAUCCUGCGGCUCUCA